GGGGUAGAGGCGCGGUAUUUAAUAGUUUUUCAUGGAGUUUGAGCAACAGUGAAAUGGAAAAGAAGGAAAUAUCGCCGAAGUGUAUCGGGAGGCUCUUAUCCGAUAUGCUGGGUCUGUAGUGAAUAACUGCAGGACUGUCUUGAGUAUUU
Molecule: non-coding RNA, 149 nt
Filed under: uncultured Metasolibacillus sp.
Lineage: Bacteria; Bacillati; Bacillota; Bacilli; Caryophanales; Caryophanaceae
Description: Lysine riboswitch
Rfam family: Lysine riboswitch aptamer
About the family: Riboswitches are metabolite binding domains within certain messenger RNAs that serve as precision sensors for their corresponding targets. Allosteric rearrangement of mRNA structure is mediated by ligand binding, and this results in modulation of gene expression.
Source: RNAcentral